AGAUAAUAGAUACCCGGGUAGUCCUAGCCUUAAACGAUGAAUGCUUGGUGUCUGGGGUUUUAUAGUCCCCGGGUGCCGUCGCUAAACGCUUUAAAGCAUUCCGCCUGGGGAGUACGGUCGCAAGACUGAAACUCAAAGGAAUUGACGGGGACCCGCACAAGCGGUGGAGCAUGUGGUUUAAUUCGACGCAACGCGAAGAACCUUACCUGGGCUAGAAUGCCUCUGACCGGCGUAGAGAUACGCCUUCCUGGGUAAAACCAGGCAGAGUGCAAGGUGCUGCAUGGCUGUCGUCAGCUCGUGUCGUGAGGUGUUGGGUUAAGUCCCGCAACGAGCGCAACCCUUAUCAAUAGUUGCCAGCGGUUCGGCCGGGCACUCUAUUGAGACUGCCGUUGACAAAACGGAGGAAGGUGGGGAUGACGUCAAGUCCUCAUGGCCUUUAUGUCCAGGGCUACACACGUGCUACAAUGGCAAGUACAAAGCGCUGCAAACCUGCAAAGGGGAGCCAAUCGCAAAAAGCUUGUCUCAGUUCGG
RNAcentral lists this ribosomal RNA (531 nucleotides) under uncultured bacterium. Its description in RNAcentral is "bacterial SSU rRNA". It matches the Rfam family "Bacterial small subunit ribosomal RNA", at positions 775 to 1296 of the family's 1533-position model. The record is from RNAcentral.